RNAcentral lists this small RNA (270 nucleotides) under Pochonia chlamydosporia 170. Its description in RNAcentral is "A. fumigatus sRNA Afu_309". It matches the Rfam family "A. fumigatus sRNA Afu_309". Lineage: Eukaryota; Fungi; Ascomycota; Sordariomycetes; Hypocreales; Clavicipitaceae. The record is from Rfam by way of RNAcentral.
UCCAUAUCACGGAUCUGUGCCCAGCGGUCCCUUGCUUCUACGGAAGUCCAAGGUCGAUUGCUGUGCAGCUCGAUAACUCCAUGGAGCCAUCAACUUGCUAUGGUGUCAAUCAUCCUAUCGACAGGUCCAAGAUCAACUGGUAUAGCUGCAUGGUUCGUUGUCGCAAGGCAACUCGAGCCAUGUGGUCGCCAGAGGCACUAUAUUCCGCCCCUCUUUUCCAAGACCGUCGGUCGGUGAGGUUGAGGAAAACCAUGGUUGCGGCCUACAUUC